GCCUGACGGAGCAAUACCCGCGUGAGGGAUGAAGGCCUGUGGGUUGUAAACCUCUUUUCUCAAGGAAGAAAUUUUGACGGUACUUGAGGAAUAAGCAUCGGCUAACUCUGUGCCAGCAGCCGCGGUAAUACAGAGGAUGCAAGCGUUAUCCGGAAUCACUGGGCAUAAAGCGUCUGUAGGUGGCUUAGCAAGUCUGCUGUUAAAGACUAGGGCUUAACCCUAGGAAAGCAGUGGAAACUAGUAAGCUUGAGUGUGGUAGAGGUAGAGGGAAUUCCUGGUGUAGCGGUGAAAUGCGUAGAUAUUAGGAAGAACACCAAUGGCGAAAGCACUCUACUGGGCCAUAACUGACACUAAGAGACGACAGCUAGGGGAGCAAAUGGGAUUAGAUACCCCAGUARGUCA
This 402-nucleotide ribosomal RNA is filed under the name uncultured cryptomonad CICYA-1. RNAcentral describes it as "bacterial SSU rRNA". It matches the Rfam family "Bacterial small subunit ribosomal RNA", at positions 381 to 796 of the family's 1533-position model. The record is from RNAcentral. Lineage: Eukaryota; Cryptophyceae.